Molecule: unclassified non-coding RNA, 232 nt
Filed under: plant metagenome
Description: partial contains small subunit ribosomal RNA, internal transcribed spacer 1, and 5.8S ribosomal RNA
Rfam family: Eukaryotic small subunit ribosomal RNA (bases 1-53)
Source: RNAcentral
GGAAGUAAAAGUCUAACAAGGUUUCCGUAGGUGAACCUGCGGAAGGAUCAUUCAUAAUAAAGUGUUUUAUGGCACUUUUUAAAAAUCCAUAUCCACCUUGUGUGCAAUGUUAGAUCUCGUCAAUCUUGGCGAGAUUUUUAUACAUCAACUCAUUCUUUAACUAAUUUGUCUGAAAAAUAUUAUGAAUACUUAAUUCAAAAUACAACUUUCAACAACGGAUCUCUUGGCUCUC